UACAGAGGGCGCGGGCGUUAAUCGGAAUUACUGGGCGUAAAGCGCGCGUAGGCGGCUUUGCAAGUCGGGUGUGAAAUCCCCAGGCUUAACCUGGGAACUGCAUUCGAGACUGCAUUGCUAGAGUAUGGGAGAGGGAAGUGGAAUUUCAGGUGUAGCGGUGAAAUGCGUAGAUAUCGGAACGAACAUCAGUGGCGGAAGCGACUUCCUGGACCAAGACGGACGCUCAUGUGAGAAAGGGUGGGGAGCAAACAGG
Molecule: ribosomal RNA, 253 nt
Filed under: uncultured bacterium
Lineage: Bacteria
Description: partial 16S ribosomal RNA
Rfam family: Bacterial small subunit ribosomal RNA
Source: RNAcentral